GUGAGGAAUUUUCCGCAAUGGGCGAAAGCCUGACGGAGCAAUGCCGCGUGAAGGAUGAAGGCCUAUGGGUUGUAAACUUCUUUUCUCAGAAAAGAAUUAUGACGGUAUCUGAGGAAUAAGCAUCAGCUAACUCUGUGCCAGCAGCCGCGGUAAGACAGAGGAUGCAAGCGUUAUCCGGAAUGAUUGGGCGUAAAGCGUCUGUAGGUUGUUUAAAAAGUAUUCUGUCAAAGAUUAGGGCUUAACCCUAGAUAGGCAGAAUAAACUUUUAAGCUAGAGUUUGGUGGAGGCAGAGAGAAUUCCCGGUGGAGCGGUGAAAUGCGUAGAUAUCGGGAGGAACACCAAAGGCGAAGGCACUCUGCUGGGCCAAUACUAACACUGAGAGACGAAAGCGAGGGGAGCAAAUGGGAUUAGAAACCCGGGUAGUCC
Molecule: ribosomal RNA, 426 nt
Filed under: uncultured bacterium
Lineage: Bacteria
Description: bacterial SSU rRNA
Rfam family: Bacterial small subunit ribosomal RNA
Source: RNAcentral